Camelus dromedarius (Arabian camel) is the source of this 3093-nucleotide long non-coding RNA. RefSeq lists it as uncharacterized. The record is from RefSeq and is a predicted model, not a curated record. Lineage: Eukaryota; Metazoa; Chordata; Mammalia; Artiodactyla; Camelidae. The transcript is spliced from 3 exons.
CAGUUGCAGUAAAUGCUACAUUUUCAUUGAAGAUAUCUGGUCUGUGUUUAGGUUUCAUAAAAUUUACAGUUGAAAAAAUAGAAUCACAACCCCAGAUUGUCCCAAACAUACUUAAAAGUUCCACAAUACCUAAGUCGAGUAUCAGUCUUUACAUUUAAAUUAAUUAAAAUGUAAAUAAAAUUUAAAAUUAAGUUCCUCAGUGUCACUAGCCACAUUUUAAGUGCUCAACAGCUCCUUGGAGCUGGUGGCUAUUUCCUGGGCCGGUCCAUGGGAUGGGGACAAAAUCCUGGAAUGAUUGGUUCCGAGGAAAGAUGUGAGGAAGGGCAUUCCAUGCAGGUGGAAUGAGAUUGGGCAUGCGCCUGUCACAUGCAUGGGACAAUGUGGGAGCCAGUUGGAUAAGAACCAAACAGUUGAGGUUAAAGAGGCAUGGUGGAGUCAGAUUGGAAAGGGGUGGGAUCCCAGGUUAUGAAGUCAAGAUUUUAUUCUGUUGCUAAACAAGAACCACUGUAAUAUUUUUGAGCAGGGAGUGGACUCCACGUGCACCAUUUUAGGAUGAUCCCCCUGGUGCUGGUACCCAUGAGGGAAGGAGUGAGGCAAGACAGCAGCCAGGAAGAGCAGCUUGGAGGUGGCUUCAGUAAUUCAGGUGUGCUCUGAUAGUACCUGGCUAGUGUGAGAAUGCAUAGAACCAUCUGGAGAAUUCUGGAAAACAAGGAGUCUCUUUAGGAUGAGGGCAAGGACAGAGGCUCAGAGGGUGGGAGGCUUGGGGACUGCAUGUUUGGGAGACUGGGCUGACACUGAAAGGUUUAAGGAACCAGAGUGCUUCUGCCUGUCAGAAAGCAACUCCCUUAAGACAGAUGGCUGAACCCAGGUCUAGAAGACUGUUUCUUUUAUGGAUUUUAUUUUAAGCAAAUGUAUAAUUUAUAACAUCCACUCCACCCUCUGAAUCACACGGUGGACCCUGGACUUUGCCCAGAGUCUUAGCGAUUGUGAAAGACACUCCUUAAUUCUAGAGAACUCCCUGAGGUGCUGGAUCCAGGCUGAAUUAAAGACUUCAGAAGUGGGAGGAAAAGUCUAGGCUACAACCAUUCCCUGGCUAGUUGUUUCCAUACCCCUAAAACCUUCCCUGGGGAAAAGCAUUCCUUCUAACGUGAGAAUUCGGGCUUCACUGUGUUGAAAGGAGGAAGGCUCUGUUGGAAAGGAGGCCCUCCCUCCCUCCACACCACCCUGGGCUCCUCUCAUCCUCCAGUGGCCUGAGUCACUGCAAUCGCCAGUCUCCUCCUGUGGAUGGUCCAGGGCAAAAGCAAGCCUGCUGGGGCUGCUGGCACACAGUGAGGGACUGACUUAUGGAUGGCGAAACAAGGCCAGCAACACAUCAUCUGGAUGGCUGGGGAAACUGAAGCUCUGAGCUGUAAAGGGCACUCAUCAAGGUCACACUCAGGGGGUGAUGCUGAUGCGAAUCCAGAAGUGCCUGACUCACGCCAGCUGUCUCAGCAGCACGGUGCACUCCAGGGACUGCGAACCAUUCAAUGUCCCAUUGGGAGCAUGUGAGGACCCCACACUGAUUUACAAACUUUAGGUUUUAUUAUCAUCUCAAUGAGUAGACCUAACUGGAGGAGUUGAAUAGGUAGUUCUGUGCAUGGCACGAAGGUGAUAGGUAAGUGACCAUCGUGGACUUGCCCAUCACUGGAGUGUCUGGUGUCAGGGUGGCCCUUGCCCCGGGCAUGUCCAUGUCCGAGCAGCUUUGAACUCACUGGCUGGGUGGGUCUGGGCAGGCACUUCCUCCUGGCGCUGGCUGGGCACCAGAUGUGGGUUUUUCUAGGUCAGGCGGGUCUAUCUUCAGCUGCCCGAGGAUGCAGUUUGUGUAAACUGCAGACAUCACCCGAGUGCUGUGUAAACACAGACUAUCUCCCGCUCCAGUGUUUCCUCUGGGAAGGCUUCUCCUCCAACUGAGAUGCUUGAUUCUAAUUGUCUUAUCAACUUGAGCUUCCUACCCUGAUAUAAGGAAGCUAUUAAAUUCUGUUUCCUGGUGUUGCCUGGACCUCCCCCGGGCAUGCUCACAUUGAAGUGAAUGUCUCUUAGAGGAGGCUAUUUUUCACCUUUGAAAAUUCUUUAGCCUCAAAUCCCCCACAUCAAACAAGCCUGCAGGCAUUUUGAAAAUGUGUUUAGCCAAAGCCUUAUGCCCUUAACGUUUGCUUCCUACUCCAGCUAGUUUCAGCGUGUUCACUUGGCUUUGGGGACUUUCUCUGUGCCGGCCCAGGCUGCCUCUUGUACCCUAUUUCUGGACUUCUUUUCCAACCCAAUGUCAGUCUCCCUUUUACUAUCCCUCUUAUAAGUCCUGUUCACACCUUUUAAACUUUUCCUCAAACUUGCCCUUCUGAGGAUGAAAGUCCUACCCUCUCUCUCCAAGUGCUAUGGAAAUAAGGAAUGUGAGAAGGAAAUGGUGACGGACUUCCCUCAAGAUCAAGCUAUACAAAAAAUCCAUCUGUACCCUGAGCACACUAACCUUCAUUUCUCUCCCUCUCAUCUGAACUCCCACGGAACUCAGAGCCCCUGCCACACCCUGUAGGACUUGUGGUUGUCCCCCUCCAGGAUGACCUCCACUGGACCUCUCCUCCUGGAAUUCACACCCUCCCCAGCUCUCUUGGAUUGUUCAGCAGGGAGGAAGCCAGCUGCCAUAUUGGAGGGUGCUCAAGCAGCCCCAUGGAGGGGUCCACGUGGAAAAGAACUGAGGCCUAUGGCCAACGGCCGGCGCCAGCUUGCCAGACACCCGAGUGAGCCCGUCUGGGAAGCAGAUCCUCGUCAAGCCCCAGGCAAUCUCUUGUCUGUAGCCUCUUAAGAGAUCCUGAGCUAGAACCCGGCAGCUGUGAGUUGCUGCCAAAUUCCUGGCCCCAAGGAAAUCAUGUGAGAUAAUAAAUGUUUAUUGUUGUAUUAAGUGGUGAAGUUUUGGGGUGAUCUGUUAUGCAGCAAUAAAAAUCAAAUUCAGAACUUAAAAAUAAAAAAUGAUAAUCAUCAUCAUCCUAAGAGCAAUUGACAUUACUGAGUGCUAUUAACAAUGUAGUCAACAAUAAUAAUUACAGCCAUGAACACCGACCA